GCGUGGUGCAGUCUCCCAGUUGGUAGAGCAUGAGGCUCUUAAUCUCAGGGUCGUGGGCUCAAGCCCCACAUUGGGCU
This is a non-coding RNA of Podarcis lilfordi (Lilford's wall lizard), 77 nucleotides long. The record is from the annotation of a GenBank genome assembly. Lineage: Eukaryota; Metazoa; Chordata; Lepidosauria; Squamata; Lacertidae.